Ochlerotatus camptorhynchus is the source of this 217-nucleotide long non-coding RNA. RefSeq lists it as uncharacterized. The record is from RefSeq and is a predicted model, not a curated record. The transcript is spliced from 3 exons. NCBI's taxonomy places the organism in Eukaryota, Metazoa, Arthropoda, Insecta, Diptera, Culicidae.
AAUUGGCCUCCGAUGGCCAUCUUCGGAAGAUAUUGGUCUUCCGACGGGACCAGCUUCAGUUGAAGUUUAUAUUCAAGCCGGCUGCUUCUAAUGGAUUAAGGGAGAUGGAGCUGAAAUAAACUCGCGGAGAUAAGUUGACAGUUCGAAGACAGAUCCCGAUAUGGAAUCCUGAUGCCGUAUCGCGACCGAUAACCGAUGCCGGAUCCGAAAGUUAAAU